RNAcentral lists this ribosomal RNA (429 nucleotides) under uncultured bacterium. RNAcentral describes it as "bacterial SSU rRNA". It matches the Rfam family "Bacterial small subunit ribosomal RNA", at positions 355 to 775 of the family's 1533-position model. The record is from RNAcentral.
UGAGGAAUUUUGCGCAAUGGGCGAAAGCCUGACGCAGCAACGCCGCGUGGACGACGAAGGUCUUCGGAUCGUAAAGUCCUGUCGAGUGGGAAGAAAAAUGUGGGCGCUAAUACCGCUCGCAUUCGACUGUACCACCAAAGGAAGCCCCGGCUAACUCCGUGCCAGCAGCCGCGGUAAUACGGAGGGGGCUAGCGUUGUUCGGAAUUAUUGGGCGUAAAGGGCGCGUAGGCGGCCGGAUAAGUCUGACGUGAAAUCCCUCGGCCCAACCGGGGAACUGCGUUUGAAACUGUUCGGCUCGAGUCCGGGAGAGGGUAGUGGAAUUCCCAGUGUAGCGGUGAAAUGCGUAGAUAUUGGGAGGAACACCGGUGGCGAAGGCGGCUACCUGGACCGGUACUGACGCUGAGGCGCGAAAGCUGGGGUAGCAAACAG